RNAcentral lists this ribosomal RNA (460 nucleotides) under uncultured bacterium. Its description in RNAcentral is "partial 16S ribosomal RNA". It matches the Rfam family "Bacterial small subunit ribosomal RNA", at positions 338 to 795 of the family's 1533-position model. The record is from RNAcentral.
CCUACGGGAGUCUGCAGUGAGGAAUAUUGGUCAAUGGGCGCGAGCCUGAACCAGCCAAGUAGCGUGAAGGCUGACUGCCCUACGGGUUGUAAACUUCUUUUAUAAAGGAAUAAAGUGAGGCACGUGUGCCUUUUUGUAUGUACUUUAUGAAUAAGGAUCGGCUAACUCCGUGCCAGCAUCCGCGGUAAUACGUAGGAUCCGAGCGUUAUCCGGAUUUCUUGGGUUUAAAGGUAGCGUAGAUGGGUUGUUAAGUCAGUUGUGAAAGUUUGCGGCUCAACCGUAAAAUUGCAAUUGUGACUGGCAGUCAUGAUUAAAGUUGAGGUAGGCGGAAUUAGUGGUGUAGCGGUGAAAUGCUUAGAUAUCACGAAGAACUCCGAUUGCGAAGGCAGCUUACUAAACUGCCACUGACAUUGAUGCUCGAAAGUGUGGGUAUCAAACAGGAUUAGAUACCCUAGUAGUC